RNAcentral lists this ribosomal RNA (1359 nucleotides) under bacterium B186(2011). Its description in RNAcentral is "16S ribosomal RNA". It matches the Rfam family "Bacterial small subunit ribosomal RNA", at positions 73 to 1434 of the family's 1533-position model. The record is from RNAcentral.
ACGGAGCUUGCUCUGGUGGCGAGUGGCGAACGGGUGAGUAAUAUAUCGGAACGUACCCUAGAGUGGGGGAUAACGUAGCGAAAGUUACGCUAAUACCGCAUACGAUCUAAGGAUGAAAGUGGGGGAUCGCAAGACCUCAUGCUCGUGGAGCGGCCGAUAUCUGAUUAGCUAGUUGGUAGGGUAAAAGCCUACCAAGGCAUCGAUCAGUAGCUGGUCUGAGAGGACGACCAGCCACACUGGAACUGAGACACGGUCCAGACUCCUACGGGAGGCAGCAGUGGGGAAUUUUGGACAAUGGGCGAAAGCCUGAUCCAGCAAUGCCGCGUGAGUGAAGAAGGCCUUCGGGUUGUAAAGCUCUUUUGUCAGGGAAGAAACGGUGAGAGCUAAUAUCUCUUGCUAAUGACGGUACCUGAAGAAUAAGCACCGGCUAACUACGUGCCAGCAGCCGCGGUAAUACGUAGGGUGCAAGCGUUAAUCGGAAUUACUGGGCGUAAAGCGUGCGCAGGCGGUUUUGUAAGUCUGAUGUGAAAUCCCCGGGCUCAACCUGGGAAUUGCAUUGGAGACUGCAAGGCUAGAAUCUGGCAGAGGGGGGUAGAAUUCCACGUGUAGCAGUGAAAUGCGUAGAUAUGUGGAGGAACACCGAUGGCGAAGGCAGCCCCCUGGGUCAAGAUUGACGCUCAUGCACGAAAGCGUGGGGAGCAAACAGGAUUAGAUACCCUGGUAGUCCACGCCCUAAACGAUGUCUACUAGUUGUCGGGUCUUAAUUGACUUGGUAACGCAGCUAACGCGUGAAGUAGACCGCCUGGGGAGUACGGUCGCAAGAUUAAAACUCAAAGGAAUUGACGGGGACCCGCACAAGCGGUGGAUGAUGUGGAUUAAUUCGAUGCAACGCGAAAAACCUUACCUACCCUUGACAUGGCUGGAAUCCCCGAGAGAUUGGGGAGUGCUCGAAAGAGAACCAGUACACAGGUGCUGCAUGGCUGUCGUCAGCUCGUGUCGUGAGAUGUUGGGUUAAGUCCCGCAACGAGCGCAACCCUUGUCAUUAGUUGCUACGAAAGGGCACUCUAAUGAGACUGCCGGUGACAAACCGGAGGAAGGUGGGGAUGACGUCAAGUCCUCAUGGCCCUUAUGGGUAGGGCUUCACACGUCAUACAAUGGUACAUACAGAGCGCCGCCAACCCGCGAGGGGGAGCUAAUCGCAGAAAGUGUAUCGUAGUCCGGAUUGUAGUCUGCAACUCGACUGCAUGAAGUUGGAAUCGCUAGUAAUCGCGGAUCAGCAUGUCGCGGUGAAUACGUUCCCGGGUCUUGUACACACCGCCCGUCACACCAUGGGAGCGGGUUUUACCAGAAGUAGGUAGC